This 112-nucleotide ribosomal RNA is filed under the name Clostridium haemolyticum. RNAcentral describes it as "partial 23S ribosomal RNA". It matches the Rfam family "Bacterial large subunit ribosomal RNA", at positions 1 to 108 of the family's 2925-position model. Lineage: Bacteria; Bacillati; Bacillota; Clostridia; Eubacteriales; Clostridiaceae. The record is from RNAcentral.
AGAUCAAGCUACAAAGGGCGCACGGUGAAUGCCCUGGCACUAGGAGCCGAUGAAGGACGUGAUAAGCUGCGAUAAGCCCCUACAUGUAGGCGCACAUAGCCUGUGAUAUGUA